GGGUUGUGAGGUUAAGCGACUAAGCGUACACGGUGGAUGCCCUGGCAGUCAGAGGCGAUGAAGGGCGUGCUAAUCUGCGAUAAGCGCCGGUAAGGUGAUAUGAACCGUUAUAACCGGCGAUACCCGAAUGGGGAAACCCAGUGUGAUUCGUCACACUAUCAUUAACUGAAUUCAUAGGUUAAUGAGGCGAACCGGGGGAACUGAAACAUCUAAGUACCCCGAGGAAAAGAAAUCAACCGAGAUUCCCCCAGUAGCGGCGAGCGAACGGGGAGGAGCCCAGAGCCUGAAUCAGCAUGUGUGUUAGUGGAAGCGUCUGGAAAGUCGCGCGAUACAGGGUGACAGCCCCGUACACAAAAGCGCAUGUGCUGUGAGCUCGAUGAGUAGGGCGGGACACGUGGUAUCCUGUCUGAAUAUGGGGGGACCAUCCUCCAAGGCUAAAUACUCCUGACUGACCGAUAGUGAACCAGUACCGUGAGGGAAAGGCGAAAAGAACCCCGGCGAGGGGAGUGAAACAGAACCUGAAACCGUGUACGUACAAGCAGUGGGAGCACAGGUUUACCUGUGUGACUGCGUACCUUUUGUAUAAUGGGUCAGCGACUUAUAUUCUGUAGCAAGGUUAACCGAAUAGGGGAGCCGGAGGGAAACCGAGUCUUAAUUGGGCGUUAAGUUGCAGGGUAUAGACCCGAAACCCGGUGAUCUAGCCAUGGGCAGGUUGAAGGUUGGGUAACACUAACUGGAGGACCGAACCGACUAAUGUUGAAAAAUUAGCGGAUGACCUGUGGCUGGGGGUGAAAGGCCAAUCAAACCGGGAGAUAGCUGGUUCUCCCCGAAAGCUAUUUAGGUAGCGCCUCGUGAAUUCAUCUCCGGGGGUAGAGCACUGUUUCGGCUAGGGGGCCAUCCCGGCUUACCAACCCGAUGCAAACUGCGAAUACCGGAGAAUGUUAUCACGGGAGACACACGGCGGGUGCUAACGUCCGUCGUGAAGAGGGAAACAACCCAGACCGCCAGCUAAGGUCCCAAAGUCAUGGUUAAGUGGGAAACGAUGUGGGAAGGCCCAGACAGCCAGGAUGUUGGCUUAGAAGCAGCCAUCAUUUAAAGAAAGCGUAAUAGCUCACUGGUCGAGUCGGCCUGCGCGGAAGAUGUAACGGGGCUAAACCAUGCACCGAAGCUGCGGCAGCGACGUUUAUGCGUUGUUGGGUAGGGGAGCGUUCUGUAAGCCUGCGAAGGUGGCCUGUGAGGGUUGCUGGAGGUAUCAGAAGUGCGAAUGCUGACAUAAGUAACGAUAAAGCGGGUGAAAAGCCCGCUCGCCGGAAGACCAAGGGUUCCUGUCCAACGUUAAUCGGGGCAGGGUGAGUCGACCCCUAAGGCGAGGCCGAAAGGCGUAGUCGAUGGGAAACGGGUUAAUAUUCCCGUACUUGGUGUUACUGCGAAGGGGGGACGGAGAAGGCUAUGUUGGCCGGGCGACGGUUGUCCCGGUUUAAGCGUGUAGGUGUGUGUUCCAGGUAAAUCCGGUUCACUUUAACACUGAGGCGUGAUGACGAGGCACUACGGUGCUGAAGCAACAAAUGCCCUGCUUCCAGGAAAAGCCUCUAAGCAUCAGGUAACAUCAAAUCGUACCCCAAACCGACACAGGUGGUCAGGUAGAGAAUACCAAGGCGCUUGAGAGAACUCGGGUGAAGGAACUAGGCAAAAUGGUGCCGUAACUUCGGGAGAAGGCACGCUGACACGUAGGUGAAGUGAUUUACUCAUGGAGCUGAAGUCAGUCGAAGAUACCAGCUGGCUGCAACUGUUUAUUAAAAACACAGCACUGUGCAAACACGAAAGUGGACGUAUACGGUGUGACGCCUGCCCGGUGCCGGAAGGUUAAUUGAUGGGGUCAGCGCAAGCGAAGCUCCUGAUCGAAGCCCCGGUAAACGGCGGCCGUAACUAUAACGGUCCUAAGGUAGCGAAAUUCCUUGUCGGGUAAGUUCCGACCUGCACGAAUGGCGUAAUGAUGGCCAGGCUGUCUCCACCCGAGACUCAGUGAAAUUGAACUCGCUGUGAAGAUGCAGUGUACCCGCGGCAAGACGGAAAGACCCCGUGAACCUUUACUAUAGCUUGACACUGAACAUUGAGCCUUGAUGUGUAGGAUAGGUGGGAGGCUUUGAAGCGUGGACGCCAGUCUGCGUGGAGCCGACCUUGAAAUACCACCCUUUAAUGUUUGAUGUUCUAACGUGGACCCGUAAUCCGGGUUGCGGACAGUGUCUGGUGGGUAGUUUGACUGGGGCGGUCUCCUCCUAAAGAGUAACGGAGGAGCACGAAGGUUGGCUAAUCCUGGUCGGACAUCAGGAGGUUAGUGCAAUGGCAUAAGCCAGCUUGACUGCGAGCGUGACGGCGCGAGCAGGUGCGAAAGCAGGUCAUAGUGAUCCGGUGGUUCUGAAUGGAAGGGCCAUCGCUCAACGGAUAAAAGGUACUCCGGGGAUAACAGGCUGAUACCGCCCAAGAGUUCAUAUCGACGGCGGUGUUUGGCACCUCGAUGUCGGCUCAUCACAUCCUGGGGCUGAAGUAGGUCCCAAGGGUAUGGCUGUUCGCCAUUUAAAGUGGUACGCGAGCUGGGUUUAGAACGUCGUGAGACAGUUCGGUCCCUAUCUGCCGUGGGCGCUGGAGAACUGAGGGGGGCUGCUCCUAGUACGAGAGGACCGGAGUGGACGCAUCACUGGUGUUCGGGUUGUCAUGCCAAUGGCACUGCCCGGUAGCUAAAUGCGGAAGAGAUAAGUGCUGAAAGCAUCUAAGCACGAAACUUGCCCCGAGAUGAGUUCUCCCUGAGACUU
This 2810-nucleotide ribosomal RNA is filed under the name Salmonella enterica subsp. enterica serovar Paratyphi B. RNAcentral's name for it is "bacterial LSU rRNA". It matches the Rfam family "Bacterial large subunit ribosomal RNA". The record is from RNAcentral. Lineage: Bacteria; Pseudomonadati; Pseudomonadota; Gammaproteobacteria; Enterobacterales; Enterobacteriaceae.